GACGAACGCUGGCGGUGUGCUUAACACAUGCAAGUCGAACGGUAAGGCCCUUUCGGGGGUCCACGAGUGGCGAACGGGUGAGUAACACGUGAGUAACCUGCCCUCAUCUCUGGGAUAACAGUCGGAAACGGUUGCUAGUACUGGAUAUGAGCUUGCAAGGCAUCUUGUGGGUUGGAAAGAUUUUUUUUGGUUGGGGAUGGACUCGCGGCCUAUCAGCUUGUUGGUGAGGUAGUGGCUCACCAAGGCUUCGACGGGUAGCCGGCCUGAGAGGGCGACCGGCCACAUUGGGACUGAGAUACGGCCCAAACUCCUACGGGAGGCAGCAGUGGGGAAUAUUGCACAAUGGACGGAAGUCUGAUGCAGCAACGCCGCGUGCGGGAUGACGGCCUUCGGGUUGUAAACCGCUUUCAAUUGUGACGAAGCUUUUUUGUGACGGUAGCAGUAGAAGAAGCACCGGCUAACUACGUG
Molecule: ribosomal RNA, 468 nt
Filed under: uncultured bacterium
Lineage: Bacteria
Description: partial 16S ribosomal RNA
Rfam family: Bacterial small subunit ribosomal RNA
Source: RNAcentral